This 351-nucleotide ribosomal RNA is filed under the name uncultured bacterium. RNAcentral describes it as "bacterial SSU rRNA". It matches the Rfam family "Bacterial small subunit ribosomal RNA", at positions 917 to 1267 of the family's 1533-position model. The record is from RNAcentral.
GGGCCCGCACAAGCGGUGGAGCAUGUGGCUUAAUUCGAUGCAACGCGAGGAACCUUACCUGGGCUAAAAUCCACAGUGAUGUCUUCUGGAAACAGGAGGUCCCUUAGGGGCACUAUGGAAGGUGCUGCAUGGCUGUCGUCAGCUCGUGCCGUGAGGUGUUGGUUAAGUCCCGCAACGAGCGCAACCCCUGUGGUUAGUUACCAGCACGUAAAGGUGGGGACUCUAGCCAGACUGCCUACGCAAGUAGUGAGGAAGGUGGGGACGACGUCAAGUCAUCAUGGCCCUUACGUCCAGGGCUGCACACGUGCUACAAUGUCGGUCAAUGGGUUCGCCACCCCAGCGAUGGGGGCG